GAGGGAGAGAGCAACGACACAAUGAAAAUAUCAUAAUAUAUAUAAUAUGAAUAUAUAUUCUUAGAACUUGGGCUCCGGUCUGGUUGUUCCCGUGCUGCUCGCCACAUUAUUAUUAAAAAGAUAUCUUGAACAUAAAUAUUUGUAAUAACCAAAGACUGGAGGCAGUGUGACAGAGGUUUUGGCAAAGGCAGUUGACCUGUUUUAUUCUCUGUAGCCGCAGGUAAAUAUGCCUGUCAGUAGGCAAAAAGAGGCACAAAAAAUAAUUUCUCAUGAUUACUAAUUAUACUUUCGGAGAUUGUCAAUAAGCAUAACUCAAAAAUAACCGUCUUCCACUCUGGCAUUUCCAUUCAGCCAUUGGCUUGUCCAAGAGCUAGGUGCUGCCACCAGCUCACCUCAGACCCAACUACCUCACAGACCUGUUUUGGCCCUGAAGAUAACCCUCAUGGCCUGACCCACUACACUUGUAAUUCAAUUAACAAUACAACUACACAUUCUUGAUUUAAAUAAAACCACACCUAAUUAACACAUUACUCAAAACAUGUUGGUCUAAAAGCAUCCUUAUACGUAACUUCUCUGACACCUUAAAUAUUCGGGUCCUCUCAUCCCACAAACUUGAUCCCUGCCCGUCUGACGUCACACCCACAACGCACAAAUGUUCUUCCGGACUUCACCUCGGGUCUUCCCCCAUCCUCUGGAACCCGGAAGCCAGCGCAACCGCAACGUGGCGUCAUGAAAGCGUUGGAACAUUGUGUUUGUGUGUGCGUUGGAAAGCUAUGUUUGUGUGUGCCAAUAAAAGGGUUAUUGUGAA
Molecule: long non-coding RNA, 808 nt
Organism: Gadus macrocephalus (Pacific cod)
Lineage: Eukaryota; Metazoa; Chordata; Actinopteri; Gadiformes; Gadidae
Exons: 2
Source: RefSeq, a predicted model, not a curated record